Molecule: long non-coding RNA, 574 nt
Organism: Saccostrea cuccullata (small rock oyster)
Lineage: Eukaryota; Metazoa; Mollusca; Bivalvia; Ostreida; Ostreidae
Exons: 4
Source: RefSeq, a predicted model, not a curated record
CAUCAGUUUUUGAUAAGUACAAACCAGUAGAGCUACAGUCUCGACAGAGACUUCUGGUUAUUUUUUCUUCCAUCCCGGUUGUUGCUAAUGCUAUUACAUAAUUAGUUUAAAUUAGAAUGCAAUAGUACCUGGACAUAAUUUAUCAUUUCAGAGAGAAGAAAACUGUGUGACUUUAAAAGAAAACCAGUGAGAUAAAAUCAUAGAAAAUGUAUGAUGAUUCAGGAUGUGGUCAUUUGUGACAUGAAAACAGGAAUUGUCAUCACCAAUAGACGAAUUUCACAUUCCUAAGAGUUUUCUCCAAUUGUCGGCGUAUCACUCAUUUUUCCCACUUUGUCCAUUGUCCUGUUCUGUGGAUGCCCUAAGACAGUGUCUACCCAUCACUCCAUCUGAUAUCACUUGUUCUGUGCAUAUCUCUCUCAAACUUAAACUACAGAGAGCCUGUGGAUAGAGGGUGAAGAGUGACCUUGGACUAAUUUUCUAGGUCAAAGAUCAUAGGUGAUGUGAAGAAAACCAGGAAACUGAUGUUGAAAGAAGUACUUAAUGACCUUUAUGAAUGGACUUAAAUGUGAAAGAC